ACACCUCAGGCUCCCACCCUCAGCAGACAUGGCGGAUGAGCCUCAGCACCCUGUGAAUCCACAGCCAUAGCACACUGCUGAAGCUGGAGAACCUGGUCCAUGAAACAUCGGAGUGCUGAGCUGGGAAUGAGAGACGUAACGGAGGAGAAGUGCCAGCAGCACUGCCAGACUGGUGAAAAUGCUAAAUAUUUAAAUUGGAAAUGAACUUCUACAGUUACAGCCUGGCCUUCAUAUUCCACCAUUAUUAAAUUGGAGUUCAAGA
Long non-coding RNA from Melopsittacus undulatus (budgerigar), 262 nucleotides. RefSeq lists it as uncharacterized. Lineage: Eukaryota; Metazoa; Chordata; Aves; Psittaciformes; Psittaculidae. The record is from RefSeq and is a predicted model, not a curated record. The transcript is spliced from 3 exons.